AAAUAAUCAUAUCUAGCUCACAAAGUUGCUGAAAAAAUAAGUAACAAGAGAAAUUGCCUAGCCCCAAGAAUUACAUAUUCAAUAAAUGUUACCUUCCUUUCUCUCUGCUUUAACACUAUUUCCCCUAGCAAGACUUCUCUGAUGCCCUAGACUGGGUUAGGUACUCUUCCUCUCUUUGCUCUUAGCACUUUGCACUUACCUGGAGCAGAAUGUAGAUCAUGCUACAAUUAAUGUAUCUACUCAUCUGUCUCCACUUUGAGACUGGAGCUGCUCCAUGUGCCUGUUAACUAUUCUAAGCACUUUGAAAAUAACAACCCAGUUAAUCCUCAUAUGAACUCUGUGAAGGAGUUCAUGAUCAUCCCCCUUCAUACCAAUUAAAAAAUAAGGCAAGGAGAGAUUAAAUCACGUGUCUCAGGUUGCAUGUCUGGCAUACAGGGGGUGUUCACUUAUUCCUUCUUGUUGGAUCAUUCCAGAUGCCAUCGCCUUAAAGGGGACUCUUGUGGCUCUUUUCUCCAAAUAACUCACUUAUUCACCAUAAUAUCCACAUUGACAUUUUCUCCAUCAUAGCUGAUUCACUGAUUGAUUGGUGGACAGACAUCUCUCACCAAAAUAAAAGCUUUAAGAGGAAAGAUAUUUUACCUGUCUUGUUCAUUGUUGUGGUACCCAGCUGUUAGGAUAGGCCCUGACACAUAGGAGGUGUUCAAUGAGUAUUUGCUGAGUAAAUGAACACAUGCAUGCAUUUCUUAAUUGCUUCACUUAUACUGUAACUUAAAAACAAUGGCCUAUGUCAAAGCGUAUGUCUAUACAUUCUUGUGAAAGUUUGUAGCAUUUUAAAUUGGAGAUGGGUUAGGGAUGAGGAAGACUGUAGAGACAGGUAAAGAGUACUCCCUUCUGCUCUGCACUGUCUCCUGGACUCUAAAUAGCAUCACUUGUCUCCCAGCAGCUGGCCAGCAGGUGGGGAGAGACCCUCCGCUCAGAAGGCAGGAGGAGUUUCUGCUCAAGGUGACAGGAGCAAAGCAGGAGGAAGCUGCACAGGGAAGAGAUAUACUGCAGUCAUGGCAUUAAACCUGAGAGCCCACUGAUGUUGAUCUUGGCCAUGCGACAUGAAUCGGCUGGUGAGAUACUGGCAGUCAUGAUGUGAACCGAGGCUUGCAUAGUGGGGCUUCCUCUUUGUGUUUUUGCAUUGCCGUGAGAGGAACAUGCUCUGCCUUGCUUGCUGGUCCGAGUAGGGUAACAGACAUAAGAGCAGACCUGGACCUAACCUGAAGUUUGAAGACAAGCCUCGCCAAGACAGUGUAAAUCAGCAGAUCCCCCCAGCCUGCUUUCAGAUGUUUGAAUGAGAAUAAAGGAUUGCCAC
RNAcentral lists this long non-coding RNA (1357 nucleotides) under Homo sapiens (human). RNAcentral describes it as "HSALNT0154590". Lineage: Eukaryota; Metazoa; Chordata; Mammalia; Primates; Hominidae. The record is from RNAcentral.